Molecule: ribosomal RNA, 759 nt
Filed under: uncultured bacterium
Lineage: Bacteria
Description: bacterial SSU rRNA
Rfam family: Bacterial small subunit ribosomal RNA
Source: RNAcentral
AGACACGAAAGCGUGGGUAGCAAACAGGAUUAGAUACCCUGGUAGUCCACGCCCUAAACGAUGCAUAUUUGGUGUGGGUCAUUCAGUUGAUCCGUGCCGGAGCUAACGCGUUAAAUAUGCCGCCUGGGGAGUACAGUCGCAAGGCUGAAACUCAAAGGAAUUGACGGGGGCCCGCACAAGCGGUGGAGCAUGUGGUUCAAUUCGACGCAACGCGAAGAACCUUACCUGGGCUCGAACGGCUGGUCAACGCCGGUGGAAACAUCGGUACCCCGCAAGGGGGUCCAGUCGAGGUGCUGCAUGGCUGUCGUCAGCUCGUGUCGUGAGAUGUUGGGUUAAGUCCCGCAACGAGCGCAACCCUUGUCCUGUGUUGCCAUGCCCGAAAGGGCGGAACUCGCAGGAGACCGCCAGCGAUAAGCUGGAGGAAGGUGGGGAUGACGUCAAGUCCUCAUGGCCUUUAUGUCCAGGGCUACACACGUGCUACAAUGGCCGGUACAAAGCGUCCCGAAGCCGCGAGGUGGAGGCAAUCGCAAAAAACCGGUCUCAGUUCGGAUUGCAGGCUGCAACUCGCCUGCAUGAAGCUGGAAUCGCUAGUAAUGGCAGAUCAGCACGCUGCCGUGAAUACGUUCCCGGGCCUUGUACACACCGCCCGUCACAUCACGAAAGUGGAUUGUACUAGAAGUCUGCAGGCUGACCCGCAAGGGAGGCAGCGGCCCAAGGUAUGAUCCAUGAUUGGGGUGAAGUCGUAACAAGGUAACCGUA